UACGUAGGGCGCAAGCGUUGUCCGGAAUCAUUGGGCGUAAAGAGCUCGUAGGCGGUUUGUCGCGUCGAAUGUGAAAACCCGGGGCUCAACCCCGGGCCUGCAUUCGAUACGGGCAGACUAGAGUUCGGUAGGGGAGUCUGGAAUUCCUGGUGUAGCGGUGAAAUGCGCAGAUAUCAGGAGGAACACCGGUGGCGAAGGCGGGACUCUGGGCCGAUACUGACGCUGAGGAGCGAAAGCGUGGGGAGCGAACAGG
RNAcentral lists this ribosomal RNA (253 nucleotides) under uncultured bacterium. Its description in RNAcentral is "partial 16S ribosomal RNA". It matches the Rfam family "Bacterial small subunit ribosomal RNA", at positions 524 to 776 of the family's 1533-position model. The record is from RNAcentral.